UCUGAAUCCCUUCCCUCUCAAUUAUCUAUGAUAUCUCAAAUGAAUACUAGCCGCCUCUAUCUAAUCCCACCUUGGUCCACCUCAAUCCAUGCCUAAUCCAUGGCCUCUCGUGGCCAUUUGAGAUGAGAAUCGGCCUCAUGUGGCUUCUGGGUGUUUGUUUCCCUGAUUUAAUGGCAAGAUGUCAGUGUCUAGUCCUUACUCAACCUCUGUUUAUGAUCUUUCUGCGGCUAUCCAUGGCUGUUCAAGGCAGACUCUUGACUUUUCCGGCUAGAUUGGUAACCUUUCAAAGUCUUUCUCACCUUUUUUGGGUUCUCCAAAACACUAUCUUUAAGGUCUUUUGUUUUUAUUUCAGAUCUAUCUUAGAUCUGUGCUUAUUACGAACUUCUUAAGUGUUUUCUCGGAUGUUCUUCGAUUUUCUUUCUAAAUGACUCUUCAUUUUUGGAUGAUUU
RNAcentral lists this long non-coding RNA (449 nucleotides) under Nicotiana benthamiana. RNAcentral's name for it is "long non-coding RNA (NBEN_LNC031054)". The record is from RNAcentral. Lineage: Eukaryota; Viridiplantae; Streptophyta; Magnoliopsida; Solanales; Solanaceae.